UUUCCGUAGGUGAACCUGCGGAAGGAUCAUUAGUGAAUUGAAUAUGUUAGCGGACCUCUUCGGAGUCCCUAGCAUCAAAUCAUAUCCAUAACACCUGUGAACUGUAAGGCUGUCCUGAGAACGAAAGUGAUUAGAGCGCCUGCCCAUUUUAUACAAACAUUAAAGUGACAAACGUAGUCUUAUUAUAAUCUAAUAAAACUUUCAACAACGGAUCUCUUGGCUCUC
RNAcentral lists this unclassified non-coding RNA (225 nucleotides) under plant metagenome. Its description in RNAcentral is "partial contains small subunit ribosomal RNA, internal transcribed spacer 1, and 5.8S ribosomal RNA". The record is from RNAcentral.